RNAcentral lists this transfer RNA (72 nucleotides) under Ictidomys tridecemlineatus (thirteen-lined ground squirrel). RNAcentral describes it as "Spermophilus tridecemlineatus (thirteen-lined ground squirrel) tRNA". It matches the Rfam family "tRNA". Rfam says of the family: Transfer RNA (tRNA) molecules are approximately 80 nucleotides in length. Their secondary structure includes four short double-helical elements and three loops (D, anti-codon, and T loops). Lineage: Eukaryota; Metazoa; Chordata; Mammalia; Rodentia; Sciuridae. The record is from Rfam by way of RNAcentral.
UGGGAUGUAGCUCAGUGGUAGAGUGCUUUCCUGUCAUGCACAAGGACCUGGGUUCAAUUCCCAAUAUGGCAA